This 1182-nucleotide long non-coding RNA is filed under the name Brassica napus (rape). Its description in RNAcentral is "long non-coding RNA (BNAP_LNC023352)". Lineage: Eukaryota; Viridiplantae; Streptophyta; Magnoliopsida; Brassicales; Brassicaceae. The record is from RNAcentral.
UUCACAUUAUUGUUAAAUGAUAUCUUAUGUAUAAAAACUUAGAUGAGAAUUAUUUUAUCUUUAUGAAAUAUUAUUUAGUUAAUUAUUAAUUAAUUAAAAUAUAGAUCUUUCUAAAAGAUCGUAAAAUGCAGCGCACGUUUUAAGAAAAUUAGGAUUUUUAUGUAUAAGUACUAAUUGUUUUUAGAGAAAUUGCCAAAAAUACUAUUUUCAAAGUACCACUUUUCAUGUUUACACUAACCAUUUUCAUCCUCAUCUUUAAUGAAGGGUACAAGACAUUUAUAACCUUUUGAUUACCUUUGACAAAAAAACAUACGGUUAACUAAUCUAAACUUCAAAGAUCAACUCUAAACCUUAAAUCAUCAACUCUAAACCCUAAAACAUGAAACAUCAACCCUAAACCCUAAACCCCGAAACAUCAACUCUAAACUCUAAACCCUAAAACUUCAACUCUAAACCUUAAAACAUCAACUCUAAACCCUAAACGUAAACCCUAAACCCUAAAUCUAAACUUAAAACAUCAACUUUAAACCCUAAAUCAUCAACUCUAAACCCUAAACCAUGAAACAUCAACUCUAAAUCCUAAACCCUGAAACAUCAACUCUAAACCCUAAACCCUAAACCUUCAAAUCAAAACCCUAAAACAUCAAGUCUAAACCCUAAACGUAAACCCUAAACCCUAAACCUUAUAUUUUUCUGAAAUUCGAACCUUAAAUCCUUAACCUUCAAAUCUAAACCCUAAAACAUCAAUUCUAAACCCUAAACCCUAAAUCUUCAAAUCUAAACCGUAAAACAUCAACUCUAAGGUUUUUGGGUUUAGGGUUUAGGGUUUAGGGUUUAGGGUUUAGGAUUUAGAGUUGAAGGUUUAGGGUUGAUGUUUUAGGGUUUAGGGUUAAUUUUUAGGGUUUAGAGUUUACUUUUUAGGGUUUAGGGUUUAGUGUCGAUAGUUUAGGAUUUAGUGUUGAUAGUUUAGGGUUUAGGGUUUAGAGUUGAUGUUUUAGGGUUUAGAGUUGAAGGUUUAGGGUUUAGGGUUUAGAGUUGAUGUUUCAGGGUUUAGGAUUUAUUUCAAAAAAAAAAUAGGGUGUAGGAUUGAUGGUUUAGGAUUUAGGGUUCGUAUUUCAAAAAAAAAAGGGUUUAUGAUUGAUGGUUUAGGGUUUAGAGUUGAGUUUUAGGGUUUAGGGUUUG